RNAcentral lists this unclassified non-coding RNA (327 nucleotides) under uncultured fungus. Its description in RNAcentral is "partial contains 5.8S ribosomal RNA, internal transcribed spacer 2, and large subunit ribosomal RNA". Lineage: Eukaryota; Fungi. The record is from RNAcentral.
AACGCAAAUGGCGCUCUAUGGUAUUCCGUAGAGCACGUCUGUUUGAGCGUCGCGAACAUCUCCAAAAUUAACUUUUUUCAAUUGUUAAUUGAGGGUUAUGAGGUUGUUUAUGCCUAGUCAUAGACUUUCUUUAAAAUAAUUAGUAGGACUCUAUUAAAGGGUUAAUACUGUGUGUUAUAGUGGAAAUUUAAUCUCCAUCACCAGUCAGUAACUUUUCAAGUUAUGCCUUUUAAUAUUAGUCAAUCUGCUUCUAACAGUUGUAUUAUACAACAAUUUAAAACUGAUCAAAUCGACCUCAAAUCAGAUGGGAUUACCCGCUGAACUUAA